Camelus dromedarius (Arabian camel) is the source of this 1163-nucleotide long non-coding RNA. RefSeq lists it as uncharacterized. The record is from RefSeq and is a predicted model, not a curated record. Lineage: Eukaryota; Metazoa; Chordata; Mammalia; Artiodactyla; Camelidae. The transcript is spliced from 5 exons.
AUGGAUAAUCAAAGAAAUACAACAAACCUUUGUUUAGCCUUGAUAACUGGGAGCUGGAAAAGCAUGGACAAUUAAAUUUUACAGUUAAUUAGCAAGACUCAUUUUAAGCCAAGAAAAAUCUUCUAGGAACCUUAUGGAUGUGGCACCUCAAGGAAUAUACAUAUCCCCAUUUAAAAUCUUUUCUCCUAGGGCCCCCGUGGGUACCGUUUCAGCACCAAGGAAAGGCCUACGCACGAUUAUUGCCUAAAGGUGAAGAACUGCUUCCGGUUUGAACUCUGUCAUUACACAAAGUAAUGGAUCCUAUUGGACUUACCGUCUCAAAGGAUGAGAAGAGGGGCACUCUACCCCUUUGCUGGCAUCUCUGGAAAUACCAGCACACAACCUGAACUCUCACUCAGUUUCUCAUCGUGCCCUCACCGCGGCCACUCACCGGUUGGACACACAGGACCCAUCACGAGGUCCUGUUAUCAUCCCUGCUUUGCAGCUGCGGACAGACUGAACCCCACGCCCAGGCUGCACAGUGAGAAAGUGCUGGGAUGUGACCUGCACCAAAGCAUCCUGUCUCCGGAGUGUGGGCCCUGCACAGACGCCCCAUGGCUGAGCACAUCUAGAAAUGCAGGAGGGUUGCCGUUCUCCUGCUCCUUCAGAAGUCCUGGGGACAGUCAUUUACAUUUUUAGCUAAUUUAAUCUAUAAAGAGUUACCUUGUCUUAAUUUGCAUUUUGUUGAUUAAUGAUGAAUAUUUAUUUCCGUAUGUUAUCCCUAGCUAUUUGUCCUCAAAAGAGACUGUCUUUUUAUGGUCUUUGACUGUUUAUCUGUUGAGGUCUUUGGGUACUUUUCCGAUCUUAUGAGCUCUUUAUGAAAUAAAAUAUUCUUAGUUCUAUGCAUUUCAGUUUUAAUUAUAUUUUAGACACACAAGUUUAUGUAUUUUUUCUUUGUAAUUUAAUUCACUUAGAAAAGGUUUUUUUUUUAUUAUUAAAGAAAGAUGUGGUCAUUAAAAUAUGUUUAUUAAACACAUAGAAGGAAAGGAAAUAAAAUAAAGCUCCUUCAGAAUCAUGCCAAUCAGAGGUAGCCAUUGUUCCCAAUGUGAGCUACCUUUUGAAGGCUUUAUUGGAAUGUUUGUAAAUGAUGUUUUACCGUAUAUACCAUUUGGAAACUUUUACAU